GACCCAUUAGCUCAGCCGGUAGAGCACCUGACUUUUAAUCAGGGUGUCCCGCGUUCGAGUCGCGGAUGGGUCACCA
This 76-nucleotide transfer RNA is filed under the name Desulfallas thermosapovorans DSM 6562. RNAcentral's name for it is "tRNA-Lys". It matches the Rfam family "tRNA". From Rfam's summary of the family: Transfer RNA (tRNA) molecules are approximately 80 nucleotides in length. Lineage: Bacteria; Bacillati; Bacillota; Clostridia; Eubacteriales; Desulfallaceae. The record is from RNAcentral.